AGAAUCAACGCUGGCGGCGUGCCUAACACAUGCAAGUCGAACGAGAAAGUGGAGCAAUCCAUGAGUACAGUGGCGACCGGGUGAGUAACACGUGACUACCUACCCUUGAGUGGGGGAUAACCUCGGGAAACCGAGGCUAAUACCGCAUAAUAUCGAGAGAUCAAAGGAGUAAUCCGCUUUUGGAGGGGUCGCGGCUGAUUAGCUAGUUGGUAGGGUAAUGGCCUACAAAGGCGAAGAUCGGUAUCCGGCCUGAGAGGGCGCACGGACACACUGGAACUGAAACACGGUCCAGACUCCUACGGGAGGCAGCAGUGGGGAAUUUUGCGCAAUGGGGGAAACCCUGACGCAGCAACGCCGCGUGGAGGAUGAAAGCCCCCUUGGGGUGUAAAACUCCUUUCGACCGGGAAAAUAAUGAUGGUAACCGGUGGAAGAAGCACCGGCUAAACUCUGUGCCAGCAGCCGC
RNAcentral lists this ribosomal RNA (463 nucleotides) under uncultured bacterium. Its description in RNAcentral is "SSU rRNA". It matches the Rfam family "Bacterial small subunit ribosomal RNA", at positions 26 to 518 of the family's 1533-position model. The record is from RNAcentral.